CAUAUCAAUAAGCGGAGGAAAAGAAACCAACAGGGAUUACCUCAGUAACGGCGAGUGAAGCGGUAACAGCUCAAAUUUGAAAGCUAGCUCUUUUAGGGUUCGCAUUGUAAUUUGUAGAAGAUGCUUCGGGUGUGGCCCCGGUCUAAGUUCCUUGGAACAGGACGUCAUAGAGGGUGAGAAUCCCGUAUGUGACUGGGUGCUUUCGCUCAUGUGAAGCUCUUUCGACGAGUCGAGUUGUUUGGGAAUGCAGCUCAAAAUGGGUGGUAAAUUUCAUCUAAAGCUAAAUAUUGGCCAGAGACCGAUAGCGCACAAGUAGAGUGAUCGAAAGAUGAAAAGCACUUUGGAAAGAGAGUUAAACAGUACGUGAAAUUGUUGAAAGGGAAGCGCUUGCAACCAGACUUGCGCGCUGAUGAUCAUCCGGGCUUCUGCCCGGUGCACUCGUCUGCGCUCAGGCCAGCAUCGGUUUCGGUGGUGGGAUAAAGGCCUUGGGAAUGUAGCUCCUCUCGGGGAGUGUUAUAGCCCUCGGUGCAAUGCCGCCUACCGGGACCGAGGACCGCGCUUCGGCUAGGAUGCUGGCGUAAUGGUUGUAAGCGACCCGUCUUGAAACACGGACCAAGGAGUCUAACAUCUAUGCGAGUGUUUGGGUGUCAAACCCAUACGCGUAAUGAAAGUGAACGGAGGUGAGAACCCUUAAGGGUGCAUCAUCGACCGAUCCUGAUGUCUUCGGAUGGAUUUGAGUAAGAGCAUAGCUGUUGGGACCCGAAAGAUGGUGAACUAUGCGUGAAUAGGGUGAAGCCAGAGGAAACUCUGGUGGAGGCUCGCAGCGGUUCUGACGUGCAAAUCGAUCGUCAAAUUUGCGUAUAGGGGCGAAAGACUAAUCGAACCAUCUAGUAGCUGGUUCCUGC
This 905-nucleotide ribosomal RNA is filed under the name Pyrenopeziza lonicerae. Its description in RNAcentral is "LSU rRNA". It matches the Rfam family "Eukaryotic large subunit ribosomal RNA", at positions 39 to 961 of the family's 3401-position model. The record is from RNAcentral. Lineage: Eukaryota; Fungi; Ascomycota; Leotiomycetes; Helotiales; Ploettnerulaceae.